CUCGGCCCCCGCUUCCGCCGCCGCUCCCUCUCCGGCAUCUUCGGGAGCCUCGGGGUCUCCGGGCUCUCCGGUUAGUGACAUCGCCUCAGGCUGGGUUUCUGCAAAGGACAAGAUCCACACAGAAAGAUCAGGGCGUCGGAGCCCGGGGCUGUGGGAAGGAGGGGGUGAGGGACAGCCUCUGCGGGGUGACCGGACCGCUCCCCUCGCCCGGGGACCUUGGUCUCUGGGGCUCGACGCCGGCGCCUGUCCCAAUGGGCACGGACCUUGCGACACUUCCCGCUCUUCGUCGACGCCCAGGCUGAGGAAGCCGGUGCCCUCGUCCUGGUCUGGGCCCGGAGGCUCCAUAUCCCUGUUGCCGUUUGGCACAGAUUCCCCGUCAGACCCCGCGGGCUCCAUGGGGGACGCAGAGAGCGGUGGCCUGCCGACCGGCUUCCGCCAAACGGUCCUGGCGUUGUCAGGUUCCGGGAAGUCUGAGUAGCCGCCCUCCCUAUAUAUACCCCCCACCCCCCGCUGCGGCGGGGGUGGGGGGGUGCUCGCCGAGGUGCGCAUGCGGCUCGGGCUCGGGCCCCAAGCCUGCCUGUGCACUUGCGAGGGUACUCCCGGAGGGAGCACUUGGCCUAGGGCAUCCGAGCCGUCGCGGCCUAGCUAGAGAGGCUGAGUCUUCCAGUCGGCGCUGGGCUCACACGCCCCAGACUGGGGGCCUGUGCCCCCCAGGGAAAGUCGCCGCGCUGGAUCGUGCCAGCCCGUGUGGGCAGGGGAAGACGCAGAGCCCACCCUAGCUCUGGAGACCCCACCGAGGGCUUGGGAGAAGGUCCCUGGCCAGCCCUGCGAAUCCAGCAGCCGCCACUAGGCAGGAAAUAGUCAUCCGAGGACUGUGAUGGGCUCUGAGGUGGCACAGUCUGAGGCUUUUCGGGGAGACGACCCAAGUCAGAGCCCGCCACACCCCCGGCUCCCCGGGAACGGGAGCUGGUGCUGGGGUCUUCUGAGCGUGUCUGGUGCCCAGAUGCACCGUGCAGAUGAAACCAUGCUUGCCCCUUCACAGGGGCCUGGGCCUCCGGGAUUUUAGUCCCGAAGCCACACUUCAUGUCGGGGCUGCGAACCUGCACGGGGCUUAGCGCCUUCCAAGUCGGCUCAAACUGGACAGCCCUCCCACGGGUUGGGGUUUUGUUCAGUUUUCCUCGUUCAAACGUUGCUCUUCUCAUCGCCACCAUGGAUGCCAAAACCCCUUCGGGCACAGCGUCUAUACCUCCGCCUCGAGACUUCUCUCUACAAGCAUGCAUGUUCCUUAUGGUGGGACCCUUUGGAUCUGGGUCAUUACCCACUUCCUGGCCUUUGCCCCCCCCCCCGCCCGCCCCGACACUCUCCUCCCCUGGGUUUUCCAUGAAAUAUCUUCCUGAGCCCUUGUUGAGGAAUAGAUGAAUUUUAUUUCUUGCUUGUUGUUUUUCUUUUCCGUUCUUGUUUUUGUUUCUUCUAGCGAGGAUACAUCCUUAUUGGUUGGAGAGUUGAGUUGAGCAAGUUUUUGGUUUCUCCAGAAGUGAAUUUUACAUCCAAAGAAGAAAACCCUAAGCAUAUACUGAGCUCAACCUGAUGGUAGGCAUGAUUUUUUUUUUUUUUUCAAAUGAAAGAGAGCAGGCCCGAUUGAGGGCUCUGUGGUUUUCCCUUCUGGAACUGUUUUAUAGAUGCUCCAACACCUAUUACUAUCCUAACUAUUGGAAAUAGCUCCUAGGCCCGGGUCCUGUGCUGGACAAUGUCCCUGAAGGACCCCGCGAUCACCGCACAGCCGAGCUCACCACUCUAGUUGAAAUCCGAAGCUACAGCAUUCCCACGGGCUCCCGAGGGCAUCGUGGGCCCAAGGUACCUCAGCCACCGCGCCUGAGGGGGGAGAAGUGCCCCUGCCUCGUGGUCCUGGAGGAUGGCUCAGACACCCACCGCAGGCGCCAUGAGAGCAGAGAGCCGCUGGUUCGUCGCCGGCGGUCGGUCGGCAACGAGGACAGAUCGUGAUCUUGUGACCUAAGGUCUCUAGCCUUACCUGUCCCGUGGGGCUCUGUUUCGGUUUCUUGUUUUCUUGUUUUAUUUUUCUUAAAGAAUCUGUCUACCCAGUGUGGGGCUGGGACCCCUGACUCCAAGAUCAAGAGCCACGGGCUCCCCCACCUGAGCCAGCCAGGCUUCCCCCACCGUGUCCCUUGGUACCUACACGGGCUUCAGGCAGUAAACCUGUGUUGGCCGCUGUGUUUCCAGGGCCCUCUGCCAGGCAGUGCGGGGAAGGAGUCCCGUCCAGACCCAGCCGUCCUGGCGCCCUGGUUCUCCCAGCCCACGGGAGAGACAGAAGCUGGAAGUGAUGGAGUCCCAGCAGCACUAACGCGCUCUGCGA
Lutra lutra (Eurasian river otter) is the source of this 2371-nucleotide long non-coding RNA. RefSeq lists it as uncharacterized. Lineage: Eukaryota; Metazoa; Chordata; Mammalia; Carnivora; Mustelidae. The record is from RefSeq and is a predicted model, not a curated record. The transcript is spliced from 3 exons.